Clarias gariepinus (North African catfish) is the source of this 600-nucleotide long non-coding RNA. RefSeq lists it as uncharacterized. Lineage: Eukaryota; Metazoa; Chordata; Actinopteri; Siluriformes; Clariidae. The transcript is spliced from 5 exons. The record is from RefSeq and is a predicted model, not a curated record.
UUGAAUUUUUAUACGACGUGUCUUCGAAAAAAAAAAUCCUGAGGUUUUGCCUCCAAUCAGGCUUUUUCAAAAUAGAGGAGCCGCGGGAGAUUUUAUGUGCUGAAGAACAUGACAGAGCAGAACAACGAAUACAGCAAUACUCCACCUCAGCAUCAGGGUCAUGGCACAGUUGAGUCCGCUGCCAGAAACUUGGUGUCAUUAUUACUGAACACAAUGGCCACAAACAGUGUCCAAAGGCCUGCAGAGACUGUACAACCACAGCCAAGAAAUGUAACUGUGCAACAAGAGUUAGCAAGAUCUUUCCCAGGGUAUUUUAAAUCCCAGUUCAAUCGUGGUAAAAAGAGGUGUUUAACUCCCACCAAGCGACUUAAGACAACUAAUAAGACCAUCGCCUUCAAUUUUUCUCUGCUGUCAAAAAACACAUCCCACACACCUAUACCAGCAGAGGAACUUGAACUUCUCCAAGCUGGCAUGGGAUGACAAACAGUGUGUCUUCCUGAAGACAGUGACCAUGCAGAGAUUUCAAGGCUCUUGACUGUAACCUUUCCAAAAAUGGAGGAUCUUUGUGGAGGAUGGCUCUUGCAUAAAGCAGCAGAUUUG